RNAcentral lists this ribosomal RNA (484 nucleotides) under uncultured bacterium. Its description in RNAcentral is "partial 16S ribosomal RNA". It matches the Rfam family "Bacterial small subunit ribosomal RNA", at positions 899 to 1397 of the family's 1533-position model. The record is from RNAcentral.
ACUCAAAGGAAUAGACGGGGACCCGCACAAGCGGUGGAGGAUGUGGUUUAAUUCGACGCUACGCGAAGAACCUUACCGAGGUUUGACAUCCCAGGAAGACCGCCGAAAGGUGGUUGUGCCUUCGGGAACCUGGUGACAGGUGCUGCAUGGCCGUCGUCAGCUCGUGUCGUGAGAUGUUGGGUUAAGUCCCGCAACGAGCGCAACCCUUGUCGUAUGUUGUCUUUUCAUACGAGACUGCCCGGGCCAACCGGGAGGAAGGUGGGGAUGACGUCUGGUCAGCAUGGCCCUUACACCUCGGGCUACACACGUCCUACAAUGGAUAGUACAAAGGGCAGCCAAGUCGCAAGACGGAGCUAAUCCCAUCAAAACUAUCCCCAGUUCGGAUAGGGGGCUGAAACUCGCCCCCUUGAAGUUGGAAUCGCUAGUAAUGGCGCGUCAGCAUAGCGCCGUGAAUACGUUCCCGGGUCUUGUACACACCGCCCGU